UGGCUUUUAAAUGGGGUCUGGAAUGAAUGAACAAAUGGGUGAAUACUGUCUUAAAUAGACUAUUUAAAAGUUUCUUAAAAGGUGAAAAUUCCUUUAAAAAUUUAAUAGACGAGAAGACCCUGGGAGUUUAAAUAAUUUAUUAUAAUAUUUUGNUGGGGCGACAGUUUAACAANAAACUUAAAUUUCUUUAAUAUUUAAACGAUUUUUUUAAUUAGGGAUAAACUACCCCAGGGAUAACAGCAUAAUUUUUUAAAAGUUUGUGACCUCGAUGU
RNAcentral lists this ribosomal RNA (272 nucleotides) under Zonites caricus. RNAcentral describes it as "partial 16S ribosomal RNA". The record is from RNAcentral. Lineage: Eukaryota; Metazoa; Mollusca; Gastropoda; Stylommatophora; Zonitidae.